RNAcentral lists this ribosomal RNA (457 nucleotides) under uncultured bacterium. RNAcentral's name for it is "SSU rRNA". It matches the Rfam family "Bacterial small subunit ribosomal RNA", at positions 26 to 518 of the family's 1533-position model. The record is from RNAcentral.
AGAAUCAACGCUGGCGGCGUGCCUAACACAUGCAAGUCGCACGAGAAAGGGGCUUCGGCUCUGAGUAAAGUGGCGCACGGGUGAGUAACACGUGAAUUAUCUACCUCCGAGUGGGGAAUAACUGAGAGAAAUCUUAGCUAAUACCGCAUAACACUUACGAGUCAAAGCAGCAAUGCGCUUGGGGAGGAGUUCGCGGCCGAUUAGUUAGUUGGCGGGGUAAUGGCCCACCAAGACGAUGAUCGGUAUCCGGCCUGAGAGGGCGCACGGACACACUGGAACUGAAACACGGUCCAGACUCCUACGGGAGGCAGCAGUGGGGAAUUUUGCGCAAUGGGGGAAACCCUGACGCAGCAACGCCGCGUGGAGGAUGAAAUAUCUUGGUAUGUAAACUCCUUUCGAUGGGGAAGAUUAUGACGGUACCAUAGAAGAAGCCCGGCUAACUCGCGCCAGCAGCCGC